GACGAACUCUGGCGGCGUGCUUAACACAUGCAAGUCGAACGGUAAGGCUCCAGCUUGCUGGGGUACACGAGUGGCGAACGGGUGAGUAACACGUGGGUGACCUGCCCUGCACUUCGGGAUAAGCCUGGGAAACUGGGUCUAAUACCGGAUAGGACCGCACCGUGAGGGUGUGGUGGAAAGUUUUUUCGGUGUGGGAUGGGCCCGCGGCCUAUCAGCUUGUUGGUGGGGUAAUGGCCUACCAAGGCGGCGACGGGUAGCCGGCCUGAGAGGGUGGACGGCCACAUUGGGACUGAGACACGGCCCAGACUCCUACGGGAGGCAGCAGUGGGGAAUAUUGCACAAUGGGCGGAAGCCUGAUGCAGCGACGCCGCGUGGGGGAUGACGGCCUUCGGGUUGUAAACUCCUUUCACCAUCGACGAAGGGUUUCUGACGGUAGAUGGAGAAGAAGCACCGGCUAACUACGUGCCAGCAGCCGCGGUAAUACGUAGGGUGCGAGCGUUGUCCGGAAUUACUGGGCGUAAAGAGCUCGUAGGUGGUUUGUCGCGUCGUCUGUGAAAUUUCGGGGCUUAACUCCGGGCGUGCAGGCGAUACGGGCAUAACUUGAGUACUGUAGGGGAGACUGGAAUUCCUGGUGUAGCGGUGAAAUGCGCAGAUAUCAGGAGGAACACCGGUGGCGAAGGCGGGUCUCUGGGCAGUAACUGACGCUGAGGAGCGAAAGCAUGGGGAGCGAACAGGAUUAGAUACCCUGGUAGUCCAUGCCGUAAACGGUGGGCGCUAGGUGUGGGUUUCCUUCCACGGGAUCCGUGCCGUAGCUAACGCAUUAAGCGCCCCGCCUGGGGAGUACGGCCGCAAGGCUAAAACUCAAAGGAAUUGACGGGGGCCCGCACAAGCGGCGGAGCAUGUGGAUUAAUUCGAUGCAACGCGAAGAACCUUACCUGGGCUUGACAUAUACAGGAUCGCGCCAGAGAUGGUGUUUCCCUUGUGGCUUGUAUACAGGUGGUGCAUGGUUGUCGUCAGCUCGUGUCGUGAGAUGUUGGGUUAAGUCCCGCAACGAGCGCAACCCUUGUCUUAUGUUGCCAGCACGUUGUGGUGGGGACUCGUAAGAAACUGCCGGGGUUAACUCGGAGGAAGGUGGGGAUGACGUCAAAUCAUCAUGCCCCUUAUGUCCAGGGCUUCACACAUGCUACAAUGGUCGGUACAGUGGGUUGCCAGUCCGUGAGGGCGAGCUAAUCCCGCAAAGCCGGUCUCAGUUCGGAUCGGGGUCUGCAACUCGACCCCGUGAAGUCGGAGUCGCUAGUAAUCGCAGAUCAGCAACGCUGCGGUGAAUACGUUCCCGGGCC
RNAcentral lists this ribosomal RNA (1340 nucleotides) under uncultured bacterium. RNAcentral describes it as "partial 16S ribosomal RNA". It matches the Rfam family "Bacterial small subunit ribosomal RNA", at positions 28 to 1380 of the family's 1533-position model. The record is from RNAcentral.